This is an RNA transcript of Hemicordylus capensis (graceful crag lizard), 3662 nucleotides long. RefSeq lists it as uncharacterized. The transcript is spliced from 9 exons. The record is from RefSeq and is a predicted model, not a curated record. Lineage: Eukaryota; Metazoa; Chordata; Lepidosauria; Squamata; Cordylidae.
AGACCUGUGAGGAUUCUGCAGGAGGCUCACUUGGCAGUAUUUUAAAUAAGCUGCAGCAUCUUUGAUAAAUUGGCUGUCUUUGGCUGUCAGUUUAUCAUCAGCUUAUCAUCUUAGCUGUCAGGAUGGGUGGCUGCUGGUCAUGGAUGAACUGUAGGUCUCACCCAGAGGCAGAACCAAAGAAAGAAGAUGAAGAUGAAGAGGGGGCACAGACUGGUCAUCCCAGAAAUCUGGCCCAUGUUGCCCCGUGUCCUGGGGGACCCAGGUUGCACCAUUUUCUGGGGGACCCUCUGAGGGAAGAGCCCAAUGAGGCAACCUUGGUGCCAGGACCCCUUCCAGGACUUCAUGUCCCCACUGACAUUCUGGGGAAAGAGCUCAACGAGGAAACCUCAGUGCUAGGAUCCCUUCCAGAACCUCACGUCCCCACAGAUAUUCUGGAGGAAGAGCUCAAUGAGGAAACGUCGGUGCCAGGAUCCCUUCCAGAACCUCAUGUCCCCACUGAUAUUCUGGAGCAAGAGUUCAAUGAGGAAAUGUUGGUGCCAAGAUCCCUUCCAGGACCUUUCAUCACCAAUGACAUUCUGGGGGAAGAGACCAAUGAGGCAACCUUGGUGCCAGGACCCCUUCCAAUACUUUGUGUCCCCACUGACAUUCUGGGGAAAGAGGUCAAUGAGGACACCUCAAAGCCAGGACCUCUUCCAGGACGUCACAUCACCAAUGGUAUUCUGAAAGAAGAGCUCAACGAGGCAACCUCAGUGCCAGGAUCCCUUUCAGGACCUCACAUUUCCACUGAUAUUCUCGAGGAAACGCUCAAUGAGGAAACCUCGGUGCCAGGAUCCCUUCUAGGACCUCACAUUACCAAUGACAUUCUGGGGGAAGAGGUCAAUGAGGAAACCUCAGUGCCAGGUCCUUCCAUCCCCACUGGCACUCCAAAGGAAGCAGCUUUUGUGUCAGAGCCCUUACCAGAGCCUUCCAUUGCUGACAAUUACCUUGAGCAAGAAGUAGAAAUCCUCAAAGGAUUACAGAAUGACUAUGUCCAGCGGCAAAUGAGGGUUCGCCGCAUUUCCAAGCAGUUCCCUCGUUCUCUCCGGGCCAUCAACCUGCAAAUCGGACACACACGGACAAGGCUCAUCCACAGUGAAGUGCGGCUGCAGCGGUGGGGAAAGGAAGGUGACCAAGCUCUGAUGCCUGUAAUUCAGACAGCUUCUCAUGAUAUUCCUGAAGGCCCUGCUGCAUGUCUCCGCCCCCCUGGGUCUGGUUCAUCAUUAUCUUCUGCCUCGCUGGAAGUUGGCUCCAUCCCACCCUCCGCCUCCACCUCUUCUUUCCUCCUGCAUCCCUCUCCCCCUCCUCCUCCUUCCCCACCUCCUCUAGAGCCGGACCUUAGCAAUGUAAAAGAAACGCUGCAGAGUUUGAUGGAUUUGCAGUUCCAUCAGCUGAAUGACCAUAAGUCUCACAGAGGCAGCACCCCUUUUCCAUCCUCAUUGUUGUUUUCCAAUCUAAAACACUUAUAGUCUAAAAACAGAGAUGGGCAAGCAAUAGAGGAAGGAGAGGGAAGUUGAGGUGGGACAAGCGGGGAAACGAUGUGUAUGUAUUUCAGCUGCACCUCCGUAGGACCAGAGAGACCCGGGUUUGAAUUCUCAUCCAGCCAUGAACCUCGCUGGGUUACUUUGGGCUAGUCACUUGUCCCGCAGUCUAACUUAACUCUUAGGGCUGUUGGGAGGAAAAAAUAACCAUGUAUACCUCCCUGAGCUGCUUGAGGAAGAGCAGAAUGUGAAUACUAAAUUCAUGAAUGCUGAUAAUAUGAAUGCUAAUAUCAGCCCUUUUGAAUUCAAGCUGGGCUGAAACAGGAAACCAAGGAGGAUGACAUACAAUUGUGCUUAUCACAAUCCUCCUUAUAGUGUUGUCAAUGUACAUGGGCAAAAGUUCCCGGCCACCAGGAGCAUACAGUCUAAAGUUUAGCUUUGGAGAGAGAAGUGAGGAAGAGGAGGAAAGCAUAAGGGGCAUUCAAUUCAAGCUGAUGGAGCUGCCUCUGCUGAGGCAUUAAGCCAAAAGCUGCACAGAGGAGGUGGGUUGCAUUGGAAGGAUAGGAGAGAGAUGUGGGCCCACAUGAGUGGUGGUUCCAGACCCAAGGGUCAGUGAGGGAGAAGAAAAAGAGUAGUUUUAGAGAGCAGGACUGAAGGUGGCUGAAGACAGAAGCUGGAGGAGCAAAAACCAACCAGACGGGGUGCAAGUUGGGGGAGGGGGGAGGAUCAGUGCAGAGGGACAGGGUGGGGCAUAGCCAUGGAGGGUUUUCAAGGUAGAGAUGGGAAGUCUGUGCUGGGCAUGGAAAGGGACUAGAAGUCAGUGCAGGGACUGGUAUUGUGGAGGACAGGCCCCUUGACCCUGUUUGUUUUCUUUCCUUCAAGGCCAAAGAGACCUCCGCAACUGCCAGGAAUGUUUGCAAAACCUCAAGGCACUGAGGGGACAGCUCCGGAGACUGCGGAGCAGACUGGCAAGGGUGGAAGCCACUAUGGGGAUCCUGGUUCCUCCAAGGGAGCUGGAUGUUGAUGAGGAAAAAGAGGAAGACAAAAACCAGACAGUGCUUCAUACAUAGGCCAUUUUUCUGCAAGAGGAGAGAGAAGGAAAGCCUGAAUUGGAACACUUGUCACUGCAGAAGACUUGCCAAAUAACCAGGAACAAACACUGCAGAGGUAGAGCGGGAACUGACUGCACAUUUUGCUUCUUGUCCAUUUCAUCCAGCCUGCAUUAGAAUGCACAGGCUUAGUCCAUCCAAACUGCCAGCAGCAGCAAGCAAACAGAAAGCAUUUGUAAUUAUGCUUCCACUGGAGUUUACUGCAUUCCACCCCUGACUUUCUCUAUAGUUGUGCCCUCUGGCGCAGAAUUUUUGAAAUGGAACACUGGCAUCCCUAUUCCCAAAAUUUUUACACUGUCAAAGCAACAUUAUUGGGAAAUGCAUGGACACUGCCAACUUGUCCCCCCUUCAUUACUUCAGUUAUGGAUAUUACUGCAUCAGCACUGCCUUCCUCCUACAAGUGGCAGACAAUAAAGCAGAGCAUGGAGAGAUUCUGACAUGAGGAUGUCACAAAAUUUCUCUCUCCCUCCCAUUGACACAUCAUCUCAAAGACAAAUGAGGAAGAAAGAGACAGGCCUAUGGUUCUUAUGUGUUAGGGCUGUGCAGUGAUGUAGUUGCAAAUUCAGAAGUGCAGGUGCUCUCCAGGACAGCCCCUAGCCACACCCACCAUGAUAGCCACACCCACCCCAAUGGCCAAAGCUCUCAGAUAGAUGAAAUAAUUGGGAGGGGUCUGUAACAAGGAGUCAAGCAUCAUGUAGACUCUAGGGAAUGUACUAGAAUGAAUGACAGGGAAUGCCCACUGAAAUGCACUGGUUUCUUCCAAAUGGCCAUCAGAAUGCAUGGAAUUUCUGAAUGGCUGUUGCAUUCAGAAAUUCAAUGCACACCAUGGCUAUUUGCAAGCGACCAGAGCAUUUCAGUGGGCAUUUCCUGUCAUUCAUUUUAGGAUGUCCUGACACUAGUCUGCCUUGCAUGCUGAUUUGUAUGCUGACAGACCCAUGUUAAAUACCUUGCAGCAUCUCCAGGAACGGCUGGGAAAGAGUCCUUUCUGAAAUCACAGAGACCUGCAACCAGUCAGUGUAGACCAGGGGUGGGGAGC